RNAcentral lists this ribosomal RNA (575 nucleotides) under uncultured bacterium. RNAcentral's name for it is "partial 16S ribosomal RNA". It matches the Rfam family "Bacterial small subunit ribosomal RNA", at positions 355 to 922 of the family's 1533-position model. The record is from RNAcentral.
UGGGGAAUUUUGGACAAUGGGCGCAAGCCUGAUCCAGCCAUGCCGCGUGCGGGAAGAAGGCCUUCGGGUUGUAAACCGCUUUUGUCAGGGAAGAAAUCUUCUGAGUUAAUACCUCGGGAGGAUGACGGUACCUGAAGAAUAAGCACCGGCUAACUACGUGCCAGCAGCCGCGGUAAUACGUAGGGUGCAAGCGUUAAUCGGAAUUACUGGGCGUAAAGCGUGCGCAGGCGGUUUUGUAAGACAGAGGUGAAAUCCCCGGGCUCAACCUGGGAACUGCCUUUGUGACUGCAAGGCUUGAGUGCGGCAGAGGGGGAUGGAAUUCCGCGUGUAGCAGUGAAAUGCGUAGAUAUGCGGAGGAACACCGAUGGCGAAGGCAAUCCCCUGGGCCUGCACUGACGCUCAUGCACGAAAGCGUGGGGAGCAAACAGGAUUAGAUACCCUGGUAGUCCACGCCCUAAAACGAUGUCAACUGGUUGUUGGGAAGGUUCCUUCUCAGUAACGUAGCUAACGCGUGAAGUUGACCGCCUGGGGAGUACGGCCGCAAGGUUGAAACUUAAAUGAAUUGACGGGGUCAU